GAUGAACGCUGGCGGCGUGCCUAAUACAUGCAAGUCGAGCGAACAGAUGAGGAGCUUGCUCCUCUGACGUUAGCGGCGGACGGGUGAGUAACACGUGGAUAACCUACCUAUAAGACUGGGAUAACUUCGGGAAACCGGCGCUAAUACCGGAUAAUAUAUUGAACCGCAUGGUUCAAUAGUGAAAGACGGUUUUGCUGUCACUUAUAGAUGGAUCCGCGCCGCAUUAGCUAGUUGGUAAGGUAACGGCUUACCAAGGCAACGAUGCGUAGCCGACCUGAGAGGGUGAUAGGCCACACUGGAACUGAGACACGGUCCAGACGCCUACGGGAGGCAGCAGUAGGGAAUCUUCCGCAAUGGGCGAAAGCCUGACGGAGCAACGCCGCGUGAGUGAUGAAGGUCUUCGGAUCGUAAAACUCUGUUAUUAGGGAAGAACAAAUGUGUAAGUAACUAUGCACGUCUUGACGGUACCUAAUCAGAAAGCCACGGCUAACUACGUG
RNAcentral lists this ribosomal RNA (497 nucleotides) under uncultured bacterium. RNAcentral's name for it is "partial 16S ribosomal RNA". It matches the Rfam family "Bacterial small subunit ribosomal RNA", at positions 28 to 507 of the family's 1533-position model. The record is from RNAcentral.